GACAGAGGGGGCAAGCGUUGCUCGGAAUCACUGGGCGUAAAGGGCGCGUAGGCGGGAUGGCAAGUCGGUCGUGAAAUCCCUGGGCUCAACUCAGGGGGGUCGGCCGAUACUGCCAUUCUUGAGGGAUGCAGAGGAGACUGGAAUUCCCGGUGUAGCGGUGAAAUGUGUAGAGAUCGGGAGGAACACCGGUGGCGAAGGCGGGUCUCUGGGCCGAUACUGACGCUGAGGUGCGAAAGCGUGGGGAGCAAACAGG
This 253-nucleotide ribosomal RNA is filed under the name uncultured bacterium. Its description in RNAcentral is "partial 16S ribosomal RNA". It matches the Rfam family "Bacterial small subunit ribosomal RNA", at positions 524 to 776 of the family's 1533-position model. The record is from RNAcentral.